UACGUAGGGUGCGAGCGUUGUCCGGAAUUACUGGGCGUAAAGAGCUCGUAGGUGGUUUGUCGCGUUGUUCGUGAAAAUCUCACGGCUUAACUGUGAGCGUGCGGGCGAUACGGGCAGACUUGAGUACUGCAGGGGAGACUGGAAUUCCUGGUGUAGCGGUGAAAUGCGCAGAUAUCAGGAGGAACACCGGUGGCGAAGGCGGGUCUCUGGGCAGUAACUGACGCUGAGGAGCGAAAGCGUGGGUAGCAAACAGG
Molecule: ribosomal RNA, 254 nt
Filed under: uncultured bacterium
Lineage: Bacteria
Description: partial 16S ribosomal RNA
Rfam family: Bacterial small subunit ribosomal RNA
Source: RNAcentral